CCUACGGGAGGCUGCAGUGGGGAAUAUUGGACAAUGGGGGGAACCCUGAUCCAGCCAUGCCGCGUGUGUGAAGAAGGCCCUCGGGGUGUAAAGCACUUUCAGUGAGGAAGAACGCCUGGUGGUUAAUACCCAUCAGGAAAGACAUCACUCACAGAAGAAGCACCGGCUAACUCCGUGCCAGCAGCCGCGGUAAUACGGAGGGUGCGAGCGUUAAUCGGAAUUACUGGGCGUAAAGCGCGCGUAGGUGGCUUGAUAAGCCGGUUGUGAAAGCCCCGGGCUCAACCUGGGAACGGCAUCCGGAACUGUCAAGCUAGAGUGCAGGAGAGGAAGGUAGAAUUCCCGGUGUAGCGGUGAAAUGCGUAGAGAUCGGGAGGAAUACCAGUGGCGAAGGCGGCCUUCUGGACUGACACUGACACUGAGGUGCGAAAGCGUGGGUAGCAAACAGGAUUAGAUACCCUUGUAGUC
This 465-nucleotide ribosomal RNA is filed under the name Vreelandella stevensii. Its description in RNAcentral is "partial 16S ribosomal RNA". It matches the Rfam family "Bacterial small subunit ribosomal RNA", at positions 338 to 795 of the family's 1533-position model. Lineage: Bacteria; Pseudomonadati; Pseudomonadota; Gammaproteobacteria; Oceanospirillales; Halomonadaceae. The record is from RNAcentral.